CUAUCUUCAAGAAAUCUAAAUAGGAAAGGAAAACUAAAACACUGGCAGGAAAGAGGGUUCUGCAUUUUCUAUGCUGAUGUGGAAAUUGGAGCUUUCAUUUCUCUGAUGCCAGUGCUUGUCUUUAAGGGAUUUAAAUUCAUGUCUCUUGUCAUCAACGGAGAACAUCAAGACUUUCUGUCUCUAUCUGUGUAAUCAUUUCCAGACUGAUUAGCAUCCUUCCUCAAGAAAUGACACAGGUUUCAAGUCCAACAUCAGCAAUGAGACAUGGCCUGAGUCUUCUGCAUUUCAGAGUCAUUGGUGGAAGAGUCAUCCAGAAGCCCCAUGUCAAGCUGAGUAGGACAGUGCUGAAAAGGAGUCCCCUGGGAACCCUUCACAUACUGUGUUUUGGAAGCCUUUAAAAGAUGAAGAACAAGUACUGCAGGGAUUUAACCAGGACUCAGACCUGAGAUACGUUGAGAAGACUGCUCAAAGUCAAUAAGCACGCAGUGAGAAACCUUUUCAUGCCAAAUUUGUGCCCUCCAGCCCAGCUGUUUCAGUUCAAAUGUCUUUGGAAUAAGUUCACAACAGCAACUCUCUUCAUGAAGAAAAGGAACUCGGUCAGAAUGUCCUUGCAGAGGAGCUUGUUCUGGAGGAAUGCUGCCUGCCACCUGCCUUCCAAGGAACUGCCAGCUUUGCCUGGAGAAAAUAGCCCAUCUGCUAAGUUAUACAGCUCUUUCAUUCUUCAGCCCAGGUUACUGGUGAAGACUUUAUAUAUACAGCCGCAUUUUUAAUACUUCCAGCUGUCUGUUUUUCCUGUGAAAGGAAAUCCCUGGAUAGUGGCACAACAAUCCUGAAGGUAUGCCCAGAUUUGCUUCUGAUAUUCAAACACAGCAGUGGGGGCGAAGUCUCCUGCCAGUCUCAGCUCUGCUGACCUUCUGUGAUGCAUCUCCUCUCCCCCUCAGCACAGGUAUGCCUACUAACACGGUGCUGACAGUGAACUCUGAGCGAGUUUCAUCUGUUGCAAGAGGAGAAUAAGGAAGGCAAAGUGCACAAUUAUUUCCUAUUUUGCUUAAGAUAUAGGAAAGAUCAGCAGAAAAGUUAUUGGAAUAGCCCAUAUGAUCUUCUGAAAAGCCUUCUGUGAAAUUUCAUCCAUAAACAAUCCUCCAGAAUAUUUCUGUCUACCUCUUGUCUAUCUUUUAACCUUGCCAUAUCCACAGGGCAGCUUUUCCCAGUUUAUGACAUUCUGGGAAGGAUUCAAGACUAGGAAACCUAUUAGACCUUGUUGUUUUCUGGGUGCUUGGCUACCUCUUUGUUCACCAUCUUUAAAGUAAGAGUUUUAACUUGUGUUAGCAUGCUACAUUGCUUCGAGUUUAGGUAGUGUAAUGGUGGCUGUCAUAUGCUGCCAUACUAAGAUCCAUGGCAAAACAUGGAGGUUGCAUCUAGAUGCCUGCCCAUUGCUGGAACACCUCAUUAACUUUAGAAAAAUGUUAAAUAUUGAUCAAAGUGUGUUUUAUCAGACAUAGUGUGUUGAAUCAGUCAGAUGUUGAAAUUCCUCAGAGACUUCACCUUAUCAGUGUCAUCUCUGAAGUUCUCUAGAAAUAUAGUGGAGCUACUUGGGACCUGUGAUUUGUGCUUGGUGGGUAGGUGGUUUUGGCAUCACACAAUGAGCCUGAACAGGAGGGAAGAGAUGCUGAGAUUUUGUCAUUGGAGCUAGAGCUCCUGGGACCAGGCCGUAAGGAUGCUCCAAG
This is a long non-coding RNA of Numida meleagris (helmeted guineafowl), 1727 nucleotides long. Lineage: Eukaryota; Metazoa; Chordata; Aves; Galliformes; Numididae. The record is from Ensembl.